RNAcentral lists this non-coding RNA (89 nucleotides) under Azonexus hydrophilus. RNAcentral describes it as "Glycine sequence". It matches the Rfam family "Glycine riboswitch aptamer". From Rfam's summary of the family: This family represents the bacterial glycine riboswitch. Lineage: Bacteria; Pseudomonadati; Pseudomonadota; Betaproteobacteria; Rhodocyclales; Azonexaceae. The record is from Rfam by way of RNAcentral.
AUCCAUUCCGUGGGAGAGAGCAGGAACACCUGCCGCCGAAGGCGCAAACCCACCCGAAAACGCUCAGGCAAAAGGACCGCGGAAUCAGU